UUGAUUGGUCGAAAGACCUUAUCAGAUUCUACCACCUCUGCUGAACCGUUGACCUCCGGGUUAAUAAUCAAACAUCAGUGUAACGAACGUAAGAGUAUCUUAAUUAAACA
This 110-nucleotide unclassified non-coding RNA is filed under the name soil metagenome. RNAcentral's name for it is "partial internal transcribed spacer 1". The record is from RNAcentral.